Molecule: ribosomal RNA, 254 nt
Filed under: uncultured bacterium
Lineage: Bacteria
Description: partial 16S ribosomal RNA
Rfam family: Bacterial small subunit ribosomal RNA
Source: RNAcentral
UACGGAGGGUGCAAACGUUGUCCGGAAUCACUGGGCGUAAAGCGCACGUAGGCGGAUCGUUAAGUCGGGGGUGAAAUCCCAGGGCUCAACCCUGGAGCUGCCUUCGAUACUGGCGAUCUUCGAGUCCGGGAGAGGUGAGUGGAACUCCGAGUGUAGAGGUGAAAUUCGUAGAUAUUCGGAAGAACACCAGUGGCGAAGGCGGCUCACUGGCCCGGUACUGACGCUGAGGUGCGAAAGCGUGGGGAGCAAACAGG